CCUACUGGAGGCAGCAGUGAGGAAUAUUGGUCAAUGGGCGUGAGCCUGAACCAGCCAAGUAGCGUGAAGGAUGACUGCCCUAUGGGUUGUAAACUUCUUUUAUAAAGGAAUAACGUGUGGCACGUGUGCUUUUUUGUAUGUACUUUAUGAAUAAGGAUCGGCUAACUCCGUGCCAGCAGCCGCGGUAAUACGGAGGAUCCGAGCGUUAUCCGGAUUUAUUGGGUUUAAAGGGGGCGUAGAUGGGUUGUUAAGUCAGGUGUGAAAGUUUGCGGCUCAACCGUAAAAUUGCAAUUGAUACUGGCGGGCUUGAGUACAGUUGAGGUAGGCGGAAUUCGUGGUGUAGCGGUGAAAUGCUUAGAUAUCACGAAGAACUCCGAUUGCGAAGGCAGCUUACUAAGCUGCCACUGACAUUGAUGCUCGAAAGUGUGGGGAUCAAACAGGAUUAGAUACCCCGGUAGUC
RNAcentral lists this ribosomal RNA (460 nucleotides) under uncultured bacterium. Its description in RNAcentral is "partial 16S ribosomal RNA". It matches the Rfam family "Bacterial small subunit ribosomal RNA", at positions 338 to 795 of the family's 1533-position model. The record is from RNAcentral.